This 467-nucleotide ribosomal RNA is filed under the name uncultured bacterium. RNAcentral describes it as "partial 16S ribosomal RNA". It matches the Rfam family "Bacterial small subunit ribosomal RNA", at positions 28 to 507 of the family's 1533-position model. The record is from RNAcentral.
GACGAACGCUGGCGGCGUGCUUAACACAUGCAAGUCGAACGGAAAGGCCUCUUUCGGGGGGUACUCGAGUGGCGAACGGGUGAGUAACACGUGAGUAACCUGCCCUUGACUUUGGGAUAACUUCAGGAAACUGGGGCUAAUACCGGAUAGGAGCUCCUGCUGCAUGGUGGGGGUUGGAAAGUUUCGGCGGUUGGGGAUGGACUCGCGGCUUAUCAGCUUGUUGGUGGGGUAGUGGCUUACCAAGGCGUUGACGGGUAGCCGGCCUGAGAGGGUGACCGGCCACAUUGGGACUGAGAUAAGGCCCCGACUCCUACGGGAGGCAGCAGGGGGGAAUAUUGCACAAUGGGUGGAAGCCUGAUGCAGCAACGCCGUGUGCGGGAUGACGGCCUUCGGGUUGUAAACCGCUUUCGCUCAUGGCGAAGCUUUGUGUGACGGUAGUGGGUAAAGAAGCACCGGCUAACUACGUG